RNAcentral lists this long non-coding RNA (384 nucleotides) under Physcomitrium patens. RNAcentral's name for it is "long non-coding RNA (PPAT_LNC013170)". The record is from RNAcentral. Lineage: Eukaryota; Viridiplantae; Streptophyta; Bryopsida; Funariales; Funariaceae.
UCUAAAGGCUUAUCAACAAUUGCUAGUUGAUUUACAAGAGCCUUUACCUUAUUAACAUGUGCCAUAAGGUCUUCACCUUCUUCCAUCUUACAAGUGAAGAAUUUCCUUCUUGUGAAGAGGAUGUGGGACAAGUUCUGGCUCUCAUAUAUGUUGCAAAGUGUCUUCUAUGCUUCCGCUGGUCCUUUGCAAUGGAUAAUGUGAGAAAAGUUGGCUUCAUCCAAAUUUGUGGCAAUCAUGCCAAAAGCCUUCUUUUCACGUCUUUUGAAGUCCUUGUGGUCCUUAGGGCUUGCAUCUAUGCUGGGAGGGUCUUCACUCUCAUCUACAAUAUCCCAAAGGUCUAAAGUCGCCAACAAAAGCUCCAUUUUGACCUUCCAAUGGUAGAAA